AAAUUGAAGAGUUUGAUCAUGGCUCAGAUUGAACGCUGGCGGCAGGCCUAACACAUGCAAGUCGAACGGUAACAGGAAGCAGCUUGCUGCUUUGCUGACGAGUGGCGGACGGGUGAGUAAUGUCUGGGAAACUGCCUGAUGGAGGGGGAUAACUACUGGAAACGGUAGCUAAUACCGCAUAACGUCGCAAGACCAAAGAGGGGGACCUUAGGGCCUCUUGCCAUCGGAUGUGCCCAGAUGGGAUUAGCUAGUAGGUGGGGUAAAGGCUCACCUAGGCGACGAUCCCUAGCUGGUCUGAGAGGAUGACCAGCCACACUGGAACUGAGACACGGUCCAGACUCCUACGGGAGGCAGCAGUGGGGAAUAUUGCACAAUGGGCGCAAGCCUGAUGCAGCCAUGCCGCGUGUAUGAAGAAGGCCUUCGGGUUGUAAAGUACUUUCAGCGGGGAGGAAGGGAGUAAAGUUAAUACCUUUGCUCAUUGACGUUACCCGCAGAAGAAGCACCGGCUAACUCCGUGCCAGCAGCCGCGGUAAUACGGAGGGUGCAAGCGUUAAUCGGAAUUACUGGGCGUAAAGCGCACGCAGGCGGUUUGUUAAGUCAGAUGUGAAAUCCCCGGGCUCAACCUGGGAACUGCAUCUGAUACUGGCAAGCUUGAGUCUCGUAGAGGGGGGUAGAAUUCCAGGUGUAGCGGUGAAAUGCGUAGAGAUCUGGAGGAAUACCGGUGGCGAAGGCGGCCCCCUGGACGAAGACUGACGCUCAGGUGCGAAAGCGUGGGGAGCAAACAGGAUUAGAUACCCUGGUAGUCCACGCCGUAAACGAUGUCGACUUGGAGGUUGUGCCCUUGAGGCGUGGCUUCCGGAGCUAACGCGUUAAGUCGACCGCCUGGGGAGUACGGCCGCAAGGUUAAAACUCAAAUGAAUUGACGGGGGCCCGCACAAGCGGUGGAGCAUGUGGUUUAAUUCGAUGCAACGCGAAGAACCUUACCUGGUCUUGACAUCCACGGAAGUUUUCAGAGAUGAGAAUGUGCCUUCGGGAACCGUGAGACAGGUGCUGCAUGGCUGUCGUCAGCUCGUGUUGUGAAAUGUUGGGUUAAGUCCCGCAACGAGCGCAACCCUUAUCCUUUGUUGCCAG
RNAcentral lists this ribosomal RNA (1131 nucleotides) under Escherichia coli. Its description in RNAcentral is "bacterial SSU rRNA". It matches the Rfam family "Bacterial small subunit ribosomal RNA", at positions 1 to 1121 of the family's 1533-position model. Lineage: Bacteria; Pseudomonadati; Pseudomonadota; Gammaproteobacteria; Enterobacterales; Enterobacteriaceae. The record is from RNAcentral.